GAUGAAGAACGCAGCGAAAUGCGAUAAGUAAUGUGAAUUGCAGAAUUCAGUGAAUCAUCGAAUCUUUGAACGCACAUUGCGCCCGCUGGUAUCCCGAGGGGCAUGCCUGUUCGAGCGUCAUUUCACCACUCAAGCCUGGCUUGGUGUUGGGCGACGUCCCCUUUGGGGACGCGCCUCGAAACGCUCGGCGGCGUGGCACCGGCUUUAAGCGUAGCAGAAUCUUUCGCUUUGGAAGUCGGGGCCCCGUCUGCCGGAAGACCUACUCGCAAGGUUGACCUCGGAUCAGGCAGGGAUACCCGCUGAACUUAAGCAUAUCAAUAAGCGGAGGA
RNAcentral lists this unclassified non-coding RNA (329 nucleotides) under soil metagenome. RNAcentral's name for it is "partial contains 5.8S ribosomal RNA, internal transcribed spacer 2, and large subunit ribosomal RNA". The stretch from base 1 to 120 matches the Rfam family "5.8S ribosomal RNA", at positions 35 to 154 of the family's 154-position model. The record is from RNAcentral.